Molecule: ribosomal RNA, 468 nt
Filed under: uncultured bacterium
Lineage: Bacteria
Description: partial 16S ribosomal RNA
Rfam family: Bacterial small subunit ribosomal RNA
Source: RNAcentral
GACGAACGCUGGCGGCGUGCUUAACACAUGCAAGUCGAACGGAAAGGCCCUGCUUUUGUGGGGUGCUCGAGUGGCGAACGGGGGAGUAACACGUGAGUAACCUGCCCUUGACUUUGGGAUAACUUCAGGAAACUGGGGCUAAUACCGGAUAGGAGCUCCCGCUGCAUGGUGGGGGUUGGAAAGUUUCGGCGGUUGGGGAUGGACUCGCGGCUUAUGAGCUUGUUGGUUGGGUAGUGGCUGACCAAGGCAUUGACGGGUAGCCGGCCUGGGAGGGUGACCGGCCACAUUGGGACUGCGGUACGGCCCAGCCUCCUACGGGAGGCAGCGGUGGGGAAUAUUGCACAGUGGGCGGAAGCCUGAUGCAGCAACGCCGCGUGCGGGAUGACGGCCUGCGGGUUGUAAACCGCUUUCGCCUGUGACGAAGCGUGAGUGACGGUAAUGGGUAAAGAAGCACCGGCUAACUACGUG